This 390-nucleotide ribosomal RNA is filed under the name uncultured bacterium. RNAcentral describes it as "bacterial SSU rRNA". It matches the Rfam family "Bacterial small subunit ribosomal RNA", at positions 28 to 417 of the family's 1533-position model. The record is from RNAcentral.
GACGAACGCUGGCGGCGUGCUUAACACAUGCAAGUCGAGCGGUAAGGCCCUUUCGGGGGUACACGAGCGGCGAACGGGUGAGUAACACGUGGGUGACCUGCCCUCAGCUCUGGGAUAAGCCUGGGAAACUGGGUCUAAUACUGGAUAUGACUCCACGGUGCAUGUCGUGGGGUGGAAAGCCUUGUGCGGCUGAGGAUGGGCCCGCGGCCUAUCAGCUUGUUGGUGGGGUGAUGGCCUACCAAGGCGACGACGGGUAGCCGGCCUGAGAGGGCGACCGGCCACACUGGGACUGAGACACGGCCCCAGACUCCUACGGGAGGCAGCAGUGGGGAAUCUUGCGCAAUGGGCGAAAGACCUGACGCAGCGACGCCGCGUGAGGGAUGACGGCCU